This is an RNA transcript of Panicum virgatum (switchgrass), 3342 nucleotides long. It is a transcript of the gene named lysine histidine transporter 1-like, with no coding region annotated. Lineage: Eukaryota; Viridiplantae; Streptophyta; Magnoliopsida; Poales; Poaceae. The record is from RefSeq and is a predicted model, not a curated record. The transcript is spliced from 9 exons.
CAGGCUGUCGCCUCCCUUCACUUGCGCUCCAUAAAGAAGACGACGACGACUUCUCUGCCGCCUCCGCUCGGAUUCCUCGCCAUUGGUGAAAGCUCAGCGGCUUCGGAGCUCCUGCCGGCCAUGGAGAUACAACUCGGGGACUAUUCUCCGGACAAGUUUGCCAGCCUCGCUCUUGCGCCCAAAGGGCGCACGGACUCGCAGGAAGGCCGCUGGAGGGCGCAGGAGGAGUCGAUCGACGACUGGCUGCCGAUCAACGCCAGGAGGAACGCCAAGUGGUGGUACUCCGCCUUCCACAAUGUCACCGCCAUGGUCGGCGCCGGCGUGCUAAGCCUCCCCUACGCCAUGUCCGAGCUCGGCUGGGAGGCCGGCGUCACGGUGCUGAUCCUGUCAUGGAUCAUCACGCUGUACACGCUGUGGCAGAUGGUGGAGAUGCACGAGAUGGUGCCGGGCAGGCGGUUCGACCGGUACCACGAGCUCGGGCAGUACGCCUUCGGCGAGAAGCUGGGCCUCUGGAUCGUCGUGCCGCAGCAGCUGGUGGUGGAGGUCGGCCUCAACAUCGUCUACAUGGUCACCGGCGGCCAGUCCCUGCAGAAGUUCCACGCCGUCGUCUGCCACGACUGCAAGCACAUCAAGCUCACCUACUUCAUCAUGAUCUUCGCCUCCGCCCACUUCGUGCUCUCCCAGCUCCCCAACUUCCACUCCAUCUCCGGCGUCUCCCUCGCUGCCGCCGUCAUGUCGCUCUGCUACUCGACGAUCGCGUGGAUCGCGUCCGCUGCCAAGGGGAAGUCGGCGGACGUGGACUACCACCUGCGGGCGACGACGAUGCCGGGGAAGGCGUUCGGCUUCUUCGGGGCGCUCGGGGACGUGGCGUUCGCGUACGCGGGGCACAACGUGGUGCUGGAGAUCCAGGCCACCAUCCCGUCGACGCCGGACAAGCCGUCCAAGAAGCCCAUGUGGAAGGGCGUCGUCGUCGCCUACGUCGUCGUCGCGGCGUGCUACUUCCCGGCCUCGCUCGUCGGGUACUGGGCGUUCGGCAACGAAGUCCAUGACAACAUCCUCAUCUCCCUCGAGAAACCAAGGUGGCUCAUCGCCAUCGCCAACAUGAUGGUCGUCGUCCAUCUCCUUGGUGGUUACCAGAUUUAUGCGAUGCCGGUGUUCGACAUGAUAGAGACAGUGCUGGUGAGGAAGUUUUGGUUCCCUCCAGGCCUGAUGCUGCGUCUGAUUGCCCGGACUUCCUACGUUGCGUUCACGAUGUUUGUGGCCAUCACCUUCCCCUUCUUCAGUGAAUUGCUCAGUUUCUUCGGUGGAUUCGCCUUCGCACCGACCACUUACUUCCUUCCCUGCAUCAUGUGGCUCACAAUCUACAAGCCUAAAAGGUUCAGCCUCUCAUGGUUCACCAACUGGGCGUGUAUUGUUAUUGGAGUGCUGCUGAUGGUACUAUCACCAAUUGGAGGACUCCGGCAGAUCAUUGUGAAAAUCGAGACACACCAAUUCCAAUUUUAUCAAGACUACCCCCAGCAAUGAUAAAUUCAGCACAAACCCCUGAUUUAAACCAUGAGCUUUGCUACGUUACAAUGAAGUAAUUGAGGAUCGCUCAUUUAGUUAGAUCUAGACGGAUGUCAUCACAUAUUACCUCGUAGAUGGUAUAGGACAAAUAUGCAUUUAUAUAUUUUUAUUAUUUUUGGGAAUAGAAAAAAAAAUAUGUCAGUAUCUUGCAAUUAGAUCUUUUAAGCAAAAAAUAGAAAGAUUGCAAUUGGCCAUAUCUAAUGUGUUGACGUUAUGGCGUACAAACAUGUCUAGCUUUUUUUAAACAUGAGGGAUCUCUACGUCUCUACAUAAUGCGCACCUCACAUUUAUUGAAUUUUUUUUAACAUUGAUGAUUGAUUCAGUCCUCGACUUCAUGCAAAUACUUCAACUUGUUUGUGUAUUUAUUUGAGAAUUUGAAUGCCGUGAUACUUAGACUUAUAUUUUUUGAUUCAUUCUUGAACCAUUAUAGCCCUACAAUAAUUAUACUCGAAUUUUCAAUGUGUGUGUGUGUGUGUUGUCUAUUUUUUGUGGCAGUAUGGCGAAUUCCAUCUAGCAACCUUUGCAAAUGUUUAAAAUAUUUUUCAAAUGGAUGAAAUCAAGACUGUUUGUAAUAUUAGUCCACAACAUAGUUGAUUUUCAAAUAUUUUCAAGAAGAUUCUUUUUCUAUCAAAUAUUGCAGAAGGUUGUCUAAGAGGUUGUACAAACACAACAUAACCACAAACACAACAUAACCAAGUUCAGACUUCAGAGUGAUGGUUUUGCGGGAAUUGACUGCAAUUCACAGCACACUACAUACUGUUAUUAUGUCAGUCAUGUCGUCCCUUUUACGGAUGGUCAUUUUAUUUGUUUAUUUCACAUAGAGUAGGUGAAUCUGACAUUUUAAAGCCUUUUUAACCGCACUCAUUUAUCUAGGAACUGACGGUUUCUUUUUUUUAACAUUUGAACUACUUGACCUGUAAAUACAGAGGCAUGAUUAUCCGUCCAUUAUUAUUUGUUACGCAAUACCCAUGUGUAUUUAAUUUAUCCUUUUUGAUGAAAUGCUUUAUCAAACUGUAACUUGUGCUGAAAUAAUGCCAGAGAAAAAUUAAACGCUAUGUAAAUUAGGUAGGUAGGCCUGUCUGUCGGUCGCCUGAACUAUUCCAUCUGUACUCAUGCAGCAAGUCAAGUCGCCGUGGAGCAAGACUUGUCUGCAGUGCAGCCUGCCGGAAGUAUCCUCGCAAAUCCACUUGACGACCAAACUACCUGUCAUCCUGUCACUAUUAGUUUCAUCCAGCUGAAUUAUAUUCUUGUCGCCGAAUUUUCUCUUGUUUCUGCCAGCUUCCCUGCAUCAUGUGGCUCACAAUCUACAAGCCCAAAACGCCAAAAACCUGUGUUCCAGCGUCUCCUGGUUUAAAAACUGGAUCUGCAUCGUUCUUGGGGUGCUGCUGAUGGUACUGUCACCGAUUGGAGGACUUCGGAAGAUUAUUUUAAAAGCAAAGACAUACAAAUUCUACCAGUAAAUAUGACCAACUCAACAUAAACCGUAUCCCCAGUUUAAGACAUUCAACAAACGUUCGAAAUGCCUCAAGUUUUGAAUGAAACUCCCCUUUUUCGGCAUGAUCAAACUCACAUUAGGCAAUGCAAUUGGUGCUACAUCUGCACCUUACUGAGUUUUUGUUGCACCAAAAGGUAUGGGAAUGUCAUGGAUUCAAAAUUAAAAGCUUGUUCCAGAAGUUCAUGGUGAUGGUUAAACAAGAGUUUAUUUUUAGUCACCAUAUACUGUAUACAUAUAGAUGCUUUGUUUAUGUUCUUGGGCAAAGUUAUUUUACUUGUGCU